Molecule: long non-coding RNA, 1361 nt
Organism: Gopherus flavomarginatus (Mexican gopher tortoise)
Lineage: Eukaryota; Metazoa; Chordata; Testudines; Testudinidae
Exons: 4
Source: RefSeq, a predicted model, not a curated record
GCCCAUCCCCAUCCUCAGCGCCCCACCCCUAAUUGCCUCCAACACAUUUCUCAUUGCUGGGCCCCACUUUCCCAUCCUCCCACUCCCCCAGAUCAUCCCCAGGGUGUGAGGUUCCUCAUCUUCAAUCUCUGCUACACCCAAACCUGCCAGGUUCCCCUUUUCAACCACUGUGGGGUCGUCCAACCGCCGACACCCAUCCACUCUGGGCUCUCUAAAUCCCACAUUCCCACAAUGCUCCUUGGUAACGCCACUCUUCUCUAUCCCUAAUCCUCCUAUUCCCUUCCCUCAGGUCCUCCUGGACACCCCAGCCCACAGUCAGGCCUCCUCAUACAUCCCAGUCAUUUACAUGCUGAGCUAGUUCUUCAGGGACCCCCACAGCCCAGCAGACUUCUCCAUCCAUGAGCCCCAUGGACCUGUGGCCAGGAAGGGUGAGGUGUGGUUUUGGCCGAAGAUGAGGUGUUUUGGUAGCCCUGUGGAUGCUGUGUGGUGUCUGGAAUGGGGCGUGUGUGUUCCCAUCAUGCCCCUUCCCCUCUGCCUGCAGAGCUGAGGACAGACAGGUCUGAGGAGCAGAGCAGGAGCUCUGGGAAGGAGAAGAGCAAUAUGAAGAUGGAGUCUAAGAUGAGACCAGGUAACUUCUGUGGAGGGAGACAUGCUGGACAGGGCCUAGGAUUGGGGAGACAAGCAGGGAAAAGAAGUCAUGGGGACGGAGUCCAGCCCUGAGGUGAGAUGGAAAGUGAUCAAGAGCAGUGACAGCGUGAAUCCUGUUGAUGCCAGGCAAGAGCUCCCCAACUGGGACAAGAGUAACCGUCCCUGUCGGUCAUGUUUCUUCUUCUUUCUGAGCUUCACUAAAACAUGAAGAGAGAACAAACUGACAUUUGCAUCCCAUGUUAAGAGAGUAUUUUCUCCUCUUCCAUUGUACCCCAGGCAAGAAGAGGGGAUAAUAACCAGUUAACGGAUGAUUGCAGAAGGAAAAGUUUGGUCUUUAUAAAUAGGACAAUUAUCAUUUGGUCUCCAUGUCCACUGAUGGUAGGACAAGAAGUAAUGGACUUAAUCUGCAGCCAGGGAGAUUCACGUUAGAUAUUGGGAACAGCUUUCUAACUCUGAGGGUAGUUAAGCUCUGGAAUAGGCUCCCAAGGAGGUCUGUGGAGUCUCUGUCCUAGGAGGCUUUUAAGAACAGGUUGAACAAACCUCUGUUAAGGAUACUCUGCAUAUACUUGGUCCCAUAGACAACCUGCUCUGGCUCUGCUUCCCUCCUUCUGCUCCCUGCCUGGGCCGGCUGCUCUGGGCACUUGGUCCCACAUGCCCCCAAUGCAUCGUCUCUGCUUGGCUCUGCUUCAGCAGAGAGGGCUGGAUUUCAUGAC